UGCGUACCUUUUGUAUAAUGGGUCAGCGACUUAUAUUCUGUAGCAAGGUUAACCGUAUAGGGGAGCCGAAGGGAAACCGAGUCUUAACCGGGCGUUAAGUUGCAGGGUAUAGACCCGAAACCCGGUGAUCUAGCCAUGGGCAGGUUGAAGGUUGGGUAACACUAACUGGAGGACCGAACCGACUAAUGUUGAAAAAUUAGCGGAUGACCUGUGGCUGGGGGUGAAAGGCCAAUCAAACCGGGAGAUAGCUGGUUCUCCCCGAAAGCUAUUUAGGUAGCGCCUCGUGAAUUCAUCUCCGGGGGUAGAGCACUGUUUCGGCUAGGGGGCCAUCCCGGCUUACCAACCCGAUGCAAACUGCGAAUACCGGAGAAUGUUAUCACGGGAGACACACGGCGGGUGCUAACGUCCGUCGUGAAGAGGGAAACAACCCAGACCGCCAGCUAAGGUCCCAAAGUCAUGGUUAAGUGGGAAACGAUGUGGGAAGGCCCAGACAGCCAGGAUGUUGGCUUAGAAGCAGCCAUCAUUUAAAGAAAGCGUAAUAGCUCACUGGUCGAGUCGGCCUGCGCGGAAGAUGUAACGGGGCUAAACCAU
Molecule: ribosomal RNA, 591 nt
Filed under: Salmonella enterica
Lineage: Bacteria; Pseudomonadati; Pseudomonadota; Gammaproteobacteria; Enterobacterales; Enterobacteriaceae
Description: partial 23S ribosomal RNA
Rfam family: Bacterial large subunit ribosomal RNA
Source: RNAcentral